AAGUGUGUGUGUGUACAGGUAACCGCUCCCCUCAGGCGGGCAGAGCAGAGCGAGCUGAGCGGGAGAGGAAGGUGGCCAUGAGGCUGCAUCGUGGAGCUCCAGCCAACGUCUCCUCCUCCGACGUCACUGCACGCCUCGAGCAGUCUCGCUUAGCUGCCUCACAGGUCAGUGUGCCCUUUGAACAUCUGGCAAAAUGAAUUCCUCCUGGCCUGCAGGUCAGUGGCAGCAGCUGCAGGGUGUUAAAUAGCCCUUAAUUUUCGAGUGGAUGAAUGAAGAGAUGAAUGAGUUUCUGAGGACCAGAGGAGCAGCAGGAGGCGUUUCGGGCCUUUAAAGAGGGAGUGGAGGCCGUUCGUGUGUCUGUCAGUGUGCUGUGUGACCAGGAAGAGCCGGAGAAACACUGAGAUGUUAAAAAAAGCGGGACACACAAAAAAACUCUUCGCUGGAUCUGAUUGGUUCUGCUUUUUUCCGGGUUGUGGCCGCAGCAGGAAGUGGGUCAAACAGGCCCCGCCCUCUUCUUCACUCAUCUUCACCUGCCCAUCGACUCGAGGCUCAACUUGCAAAAAAAUCCAUCAAAGUGCACAAAACGGACUAAAUUGAAGUUAUUCUGUGGUUUACACCUGUGAUAAAAAAAUGUAAAAUCAGCUAUAAAACCUGCUAAUGUUUAAGAGCUCCAUCCGCUGCUUAUGGUGUUCUUGAUUAUAAACAAAUAUGUAAAAAACUAUGGAGACAAACAGUGUAUUCAGGCUCAACACAGAUGGAUCAAAGAGCGUGUGAGAGGCUGCUUUUCGUCAAUAUGUGUCGGUGUCUGUCUGUGUUACUGUCUUAAGUGUUCGUUUUAGUUUGCUUUAGAAAGCCUAAAGGAUGGAGGAGAUUAGAGUGACUGUGGAUGAAUUACAACAGAAGAAUAGUCCCAAUUCAAAUGGAAAGGGAGAGCCAUGAGGAUUGUACGAUAUGAUAAAGCCUGUAGCGUGCCAUGUAUGAAAAGACGAGAGAAAGUUUUAACAUAUUCAAUGGUGAACAAGUUUGUAUUAUUGUUUUUUAGUUGUUUUUCAUUUUUUACUACAUGUAUAAUGUGUAGAUACCUCAAAAUGACUACAAAGAGAUGUAAGAAAGGGCCAAAAAUCAUCCAAUACUUCUACAAAAAGACACAAAAUGACCACAAAACGACUCCAACCUAUAGGCUACACAAGGAGCAAAACGACCACAGACAAAACAUAAUUUGAGAAAGUUAUAAAAUUAACUAUUUUUUAUUAUAGUUUUUUACUUUAGCUUAUUUUAUUUCACACACACGUACACACACACACACAC
This is a long non-coding RNA of Notothenia coriiceps (black rockcod), 1308 nucleotides long. RefSeq lists it as uncharacterized. The record is from RefSeq and is a predicted model, not a curated record. NCBI's taxonomy places the organism in Eukaryota, Metazoa, Chordata, Actinopteri, Perciformes, Nototheniidae. The transcript has 3 exons.